Molecule: ribosomal RNA, 401 nt
Filed under: uncultured bacterium
Lineage: Bacteria
Description: bacterial SSU rRNA
Rfam family: Bacterial small subunit ribosomal RNA
Source: RNAcentral
UCGGGAAUUUUGGGCAAUGGGCGAAAGCCUGACCCAGCAACGCCGCGUGAGGGAUGAAGUAUUUCGAUAUGUAAACCUCGAAAGAAUGGGAAGAAUAAAUGACGGUACCAUUUAUAAGCUCCGGCUAACUACGUGCCAGCAGCCGCGGUAAUACGUAGGGAGCAAGCGUUGUUCGGAUUUACUGGGCGUAAGGGCGCGUAGGCGGCGCGGUAAGUCACUUGUGAAAUCUCUGAGCUUAACUCAGAACGGCCAAGUGAUACUGCUGUGCUAGAGUGCGGAAGAGGCAACCGGAAUUCUUGGUGUAGCGGUGAAAUGCGUAGAUAUCAAGAGGAACACUUGAGGCGAAGGCGGGUUGCUGGGCCGACACUGACGCUGAUGCGCGAAAGCCAGGGGAGCAAACG